CUGAUAUAAAUUAAAGGGCUGCAGUAAUUUGACUGUACAAAGGUAGCAUAAUCAUUAGUCUUUUAAUUGAAGACUUGUAUGAAAGAUUUGAUGAAAUAUAAACUGUCUCUAAUUUAUAGUUAAAACUUAAUUUUUUAGUUAAAAAGCUAAAAUAAAUUUAAAAGACGAGAAGACCCUAUAGAGUUUUAUAAUUUAUUAUAUAAAAUAUUUUUAUAAAAUUUUAAUAUUUAAUAUAAUAAAUUAUUUUGUUGGGGUGAUAAAAAAAUUAAUAAAACUUUUUUUAAAUAUUAUCAAAGAUAAUUGAGUAAAUGAUCCUAAAUUAAAGAUUAUAAGAAAAAAUUACCUUAGGGAUAACAGCGUAAUAUUUUUUUUUAGUACAAAUAAAAAAAAAAGUUUGCGACCUCGAUGUUGGAUUAAGAUAAAAUUUAAAUGCAAAAGUUUAAAAUUUUUGAUCUGUUCGAUCAUUAAAAUCUUACGUGAUCUGAGUUCA
RNAcentral lists this ribosomal RNA (490 nucleotides) under Leptotes sp. BOLD:AAD3953. RNAcentral's name for it is "partial 16S ribosomal RNA". The stretch from base 350 to 490 matches the Rfam family "Bacterial large subunit ribosomal RNA", at positions 2473 to 2613 of the family's 2925-position model. The record is from RNAcentral. Lineage: Eukaryota; Metazoa; Arthropoda; Insecta; Lepidoptera; Lycaenidae.